CAACUACUCCCUCUGUCCCAAAUUUCUUGUCUUAGAUUUGUCUAGAUACGGAUGUAUCUAAUACUAAAAUGUGACUUGAUACAUCCCUAUCUAGAAAAAUCUAAUACAAGAAUUUUGGGACGGAGGGAGUACUUU
This is a non-coding RNA of Triticum aestivum (bread wheat), 135 nucleotides long. The record is from Rfam. Lineage: Eukaryota; Viridiplantae; Streptophyta; Magnoliopsida; Poales; Poaceae.